This 468-nucleotide ribosomal RNA is filed under the name uncultured bacterium. RNAcentral describes it as "partial 16S ribosomal RNA". It matches the Rfam family "Bacterial small subunit ribosomal RNA", at positions 28 to 507 of the family's 1533-position model. The record is from RNAcentral.
GACGAACGCUGGCGGCGUGCCUAACACAUGCAAGUCGAACGGAAAGGCCCUGCUUUUGUGGGGUGCUCGAGUGGCGAACGGGUGAGUAACACGUGAGUAACCUGCCCUUGACUUUGGGAUAACUUCAGGAAACUGGGGCUAAUACCGGAUAGGAGCUCCUGCUGCAUGGUGGGGGUUGGAAAGUUUCGGCGGUUGGGGAUGGACUCGCGGCUUAUCAGCUUGUUGGUGGGGUAGUGGCUUACCAAGGCUUUGACGGGUAGGCGGCCUGAGAGGGUGACCGGGCACAAUGGGCCUGAGGUAGGGCGCAGACUCCUACGGGGGGCAGCAGUGGGGAAUAUUGCACAGUGGGCGGAAGCCUGAUGCGACAACGCCGCGUGCGGAAUGACGGCCUUCGGGUUAUAAACCGCUUUCGCCUGUGACGAAGCGUGAGUGACGGUAAUGGGUAAAGAAGCACCGGCUAACUACGUG